Schizosaccharomyces pombe (fission yeast) is the source of this 553-nucleotide non-coding RNA. The record is from the annotation of a GenBank genome assembly. Lineage: Eukaryota; Fungi; Ascomycota; Schizosaccharomycetes; Schizosaccharomycetales; Schizosaccharomycetaceae.
UGGUUAAGCGCAGAAUGUUGUUACUAGGGUAGUGUGAACUCAACGCUUUGGGAAAUUUUUCGGUUAUUCAAACUUACAACUUUAGAUACGUUUGAUAGCGCAUAUUAUAUUACAAUUUAGUUGAUUUUAUAAAAACAUGUUUUAUUUUCUUUUGUGCGUGUAACAAAAAAAUCAUAAGUCUGAAGGCUGUAGGCAUUCAAUUUUAAGCAAGUCUUUACCAAAAGAUAUACUUUUAAACAGGCAUUUAAAUAUUAAGCAUUUUCAUGGAUUUAUUUAUUUUUCUUUCAUCCUUCCGUUUCAUAAAAAAAAAAAAAAUUCAACCGACACAGUAUUCAAGAUGUCGGAGAUCUGGAGUAUACUGAUCUUGCACUGAUUAGAGAAAAUUGGAUCGAUUUUCAAUAGUGGACUUUAGAAAAUCUCAUGGCUGUUAAAAAAUUAUAAUAAGAUAAAAUUUACCCCUUUUUUUACUACUAAAUAGCUAGCCUCUGAAAUGUAAUUCUAUAGUCAUGAACUACGAGAGUAUCUCCAAAAUACUAUGAGUUAGCAGAAUAAU